Molecule: long non-coding RNA, 1890 nt
Organism: Gallus gallus (chicken)
Lineage: Eukaryota; Metazoa; Chordata; Aves; Galliformes; Phasianidae
Exons: 2
Source: RefSeq, a predicted model, not a curated record
GGAGGGGGGAAGAAUUUAGGGAGAGAGAGGAAGGACUCUGAGAAGGAGACGAUGGAGGAGAUGGGGAAGAGGAUUUGGAAAGAAUAUGGGGAAGAAGUGUGGGGAGAAUAUGAGGGCAGAAACUGUAGGAGGAGAGAGCUCGAGCGGAUCAGCUUUGCAGCGGAGUCUCACAACGAGGGAUCGUUCUUAGAGGGUCCGAAUUGCAGCCAAAACCCGCAGCAAAGCAGCUCUGUGAAGCUGAGGGGGAGCGAUGCAGCCGUCCCAUCCGCCUCCCUCAGCAGCACAGCAGCUCUGAUACGGGUGGGUGGAAGGAGGAGGGCUGAUAUCCCCCCCAUGUGUACAAAGGGGGGGCAGGGAGUGCAAACGGGGUGCGGUGCAUCUGACGGGCUGCAGAUAGCGCAGGGAGGGGUGCAGACAGGGGGUGAUCAUCCGCCCUGCAGCAGUCAGACAGGAGGAGGGGACCUCAGGGAUGGAGAGAAAUGAAGCCGGGAGAUCCGACCCGGUACCGUGGGCUGGCAGUGUGUUAUACAGUCAUAGAAUCACAAGGUUGGAAAGGACCUACGAGACCAUCUAUUCCAACCGCCCUCCCAUCCCCACUGCUCCCAUAAGCGCCAAACCACCUCUCGUAGCUCCUCAUCCAGGCGCCUCUUCAACACUGCCCGGGACGGCGACUCCACCACCUCCCUGGGCAGCCAUUCCAGCGCCUCACCACUCUCUGAGAGGAAAAGCUUUUCCUUUUGUCCAACCUAAACCUCCUCUGGUACAACUUGUGGCCAUUUCCUCGGGUCCUGUGUGCUGCCUGGGAGAACCUCAUCCCAUUGGCUUCAGCCCAGCGAUGCAGCUUAUCGAGAUCCCUCUGAAGGGCCUCCCCACCCUCAGGCGGAUCCACACCACCUCCCAGCUUGGUGUCACCUCCGGACUUACUGAGGGUCCCUCAUUCAGGUCAUCAGUAAGGAUAUUAAACAAGAUGGGACCCCCUCAUUCAGAUCAUCAAUAAGGAUAUUAAACAAGAUGGGACCCCCUCAUUCAGGUCAUCGAUACGGAUAUUAAACAAGAUGGGACCCCCUCAUUCAGGUCAUCAGUAAGGAUAUUAAACAAGAUGGGACCCCCUCAUUCAGGUCAUCAGUAAGGAUAUUAAACAAGAUGGGACCCCUCAUUCAGAUCAUCAGUAAGGAUAUUAAACAAGAUGGGACCCCCUCAUUUAGGUCAUCGAUACGGAUAUUAAACAAGAUGGGACCCCUCAUUCAGAUCAUCAAUAAGGAUAUUAAACAAGAUGGGACCCCCUCAUUCAGGUCAUCGAGAAGGAUAUUAAACAAGAUGGGACCCCCUCAUUCAGGUCACCGAGAAGGAUAUUAAACAAGAUGGGACCCCUCAUUCAGAUCAUCUAUAAGGAUAUUAAACAAGAUGGGACCCCCUCGUAUAGGUCAUCGAUAAGGAUAUUAAACAAGAUGGGACCCCCUCAUUCAGGGCAUCUAUAAGGAUAUUAAACAAGUUGGGACCCCCUCAUUCAGGUCAUCGAUACGGAUAUUAAACAAGAUGGGACCCCUCAUUCAGGUCAUCGAUAUGGAUAUUAAACAAGAUGGGACCCCUCAUUCAGGUCAUCAAUAAGGAUAUUAAACAAGAUGGGACCCCUCAUUCAGAUCAUCAAUAAGGAUAUUAAACAAGAUGGGACCCCCUCAUUCAGGUCAUCGAUACGGAUAUUAAACAAGAUGGGACCCCUCAUUCAGGUCAUCGAUACGGAUAUUAAACAAGAUGGGACCCCUCAUUCAGGUCAUCAAUAAGGAUAUUAAACAAGAUGGGACCCCUCAUUCAGAUCAUCAAUAAGGAUAUUAAACAAGAUGGGACCCCUCAUUCAGGUCAUCAAUAAGGAUAUUAAACAAGAUGGGUCCC